Molecule: ribosomal RNA, 554 nt
Filed under: uncultured bacterium
Lineage: Bacteria
Description: partial 16S ribosomal RNA
Rfam family: Bacterial small subunit ribosomal RNA
Source: RNAcentral
UGGGGAAUUUUGGACAAUGGGCGCAAGCCUGAUCCAGCCAUGCCGCGUGCGGGAAGAAGGCCUUCGGGUUGUAAACCGCUUUUGUCAGGGAAGAAAUCUUCUGAGUUAAUACCUCGGGAGGAUGACGGUACCUGAAGAAUAAGCACCGGCUAACUACGUGCCAGCAGCCGCGGUAAUACGUAGGGUGCAAGCGUUAAUCGGAAUUACUGGGCGUAAAGCGUGCGCAGGCGGUUUUGUAAGACAGAGGUGAAAUCCCCGGGCUCAACCUGGGAACUGCCUUUGUGACUGCAAGGCUUGAGUGCGGCAGAGGGGGAUGGAAUUCCGCGUGUAGCAGUGAAAUGCGUAGAUAUGCGGAGGAACACCGAUGGCGAAGGCAAUCCCCUGGGCCUGCACUGACGCUCAUGCACGAAAGCGUGGGGAGCAAACAGGAUUAGAUACCCUGGUAGUCCACGCCCUAAACGGUGUCAACUGGUUGUUGGGAAGGUUCCUUCUCAGUAACGUAGCUAACGCGUGAAGUUGACCGCCUGGGGAGUACGGCCGCAAGGUUGAAACUC